This 647-nucleotide ribosomal RNA is filed under the name Encotyllabe sp. 2 AK-2021. RNAcentral's name for it is "partial large subunit ribosomal RNA". It matches the Rfam family "Eukaryotic large subunit ribosomal RNA", at positions 189 to 632 of the family's 3401-position model. Lineage: Eukaryota; Metazoa; Platyhelminthes; Monogenea; Capsalidea; Capsalidae. The record is from RNAcentral.
UUGUGCGUAUGCACCCACAGAGGGUGAAAGGCCCGUUCAGGUUGGUUUCUGAUAUGACAGUCUUGUGUGUUUUUAUUUGUCUUGGAGUCGGAUUGCUUGAGAGUGCAGUCCAAAAUUGGUGGUAAACUCCAUCUAAGGCUAAAUACCUGUGCGAAUCCGAUAGUCAACAAGUACCGUGAGGGAAAGUUGAAAAGUACUCUGAAGAGAGAGUAAAUAGUACGUGAAACUACAUGGAGGUUAAACAGAUAGAGUCAAGCUGCGUGUCAUGUUCAUUGCAUUGAGCGCUUUUGUGUUGAAAGGCAAGCUUGUGGUGCUGGUAUGUUGAUCUAUUCACUUGUGGAUAUUCGAACAAUUGUUGUGUUCGUAGUACCUCAGGCAAGCCAGUGUUCAAUGUUAAUGACUUGACAGGUGCCAUGGUCGAUUGCACUGCCAGUAUGCUUUAACCGACGACUAUUCAGGCUAUUGCCGUAGCUUGUUUAGUUAGUAUGACAGUUGGCUGAGUCGUGUGCUUGCACAUGAGUUGGUCAAAAAUGGCCACGGCCUGUUGGUUAUUGCAUGAACUGUGUGGGCAAUCGGUGAAGUAUGCUCGCAAAAUUCAUGUUAGCUGUUCCAACUUUGUUGGACGGCUUUUUGAAAGAGCGUAUGAA